GACGAACGCUGGCGGCGUGCCUAAUACAUGCAAGUCGAGCGGACAGACGGGAGCUUGCUCCCUGAUGUUAGCGGCGGACGGGUGAGUAACACGUGGGUAACCUGCCUGUAAGACUGGGAUAACUCCGGGAAACCGGGGCUAAUACCGGAUGGUUGUCUGAACCGCAUGGUUCAGACAUAAAAGGUGGCUUCGGCUACCACUUACAGAUGGACCCGCGGCGCAUUAGCUAGUUGGUGAGGUAACGGCUCACCAAGGCAACGAUGCGUAGCCGACCUGAGAGGGUGAUCGGCCACACUGGGACUGAGACACGGCCCAGACUCCUACGGGAGGCAGCAGUAGGGAAUCUUCCGCAAUGGACGAAAGUCUGACGGAGCAACGCCGCGUGAGUGCGGAAGGUUUUCGGAUCGUAAAGCUCUGUUGUUAGGGAAGAACAAGUGCCGUUCAAAUAGGGCGGCACCUUGACGGUACCUAACCAGAAAGCCACGGCUAACUACGUG
RNAcentral lists this ribosomal RNA (497 nucleotides) under uncultured bacterium. RNAcentral describes it as "partial 16S ribosomal RNA". It matches the Rfam family "Bacterial small subunit ribosomal RNA", at positions 28 to 507 of the family's 1533-position model. The record is from RNAcentral.